UUGAACGUUGGCGGCACGCCUAAUACAUGCAAGUCGAACGAGAAAGCACUUCGGUGUGAGUACAGUGGCGGACGGGUGAGUAACGCGUAGGAAUCUACCUAGUAGUGGGGGACAACUCGGGGAAACUCGAGCUAAUACCGCAUACGCUCUAAGGAGGAAAGUGGGGGACCUUUGGGCCUCACGCUAUUAGAGGAGCCUGCGUUAGAUUAGCUAGUUGGUGAGGUAAAGGCUCACCAAGGCUACGAUCUAUAGCUGGUCUGAGAGGACGAUCAGCCACACUGGAACUGAGACACGGUCCAGACUCCUACGGGAGGCAGCAGUAGGGAAUCUUGGGCAAUGGGCGAAAGCCUGACCCAGCGAUGCCGCGUGUGCGAAGAAGGCCUUAGGGUUGUAAAGCACUUUCAGUUGCGAAGAAAAGCUGCGAUUUAAUACAUCGCGGUCUUGACGUUAACAACAGAAGAAGUACCG
This 468-nucleotide ribosomal RNA is filed under the name uncultured Gammaproteobacteria bacterium. Its description in RNAcentral is "bacterial SSU rRNA". It matches the Rfam family "Bacterial small subunit ribosomal RNA", at positions 30 to 495 of the family's 1533-position model. The record is from RNAcentral. Lineage: Bacteria; Pseudomonadati; Pseudomonadota; Gammaproteobacteria.